UCCCUGAUAUCCUUAGCUCCUUCCAUGGCCGUCGUUUUCUCUCCUGCCCUCUUUUUUCCUUUUUCUCUGCCACUCUCUCUAGUUGUCCAACUUUUCUAAAAUGUAUUUAGUACACGAUAUAAAAAGCAAAAGUUAUGUUUAAAACAAUCAAUAUUUUUUUAAUAGUUAUAUAUUUUUUAAUGGUGGAGUAGUUGGCUCUGUCUCUCUGGUUUAGGCUCAUGGUUGUUCCUUCUCCAAUAAAGAUCGACUUGGUGGGGGUUUGUGGUCUUGGUCUCGAGUGUAGCUGUCUGUCCAUGAAGUUCACUGUCUGGGUGUGCUUAGCAAGCUGUUUUUGACAACCCGAUCAUUAAGAACUGGUCACCAGGUACACCUAACUCUACCGGGUCGAGCUCUCGCUAUAACUGCGGGUCGAUUCUGCGGCAAGCGAAUGUUCCUCCCCACUGUAUCCUUUGUGUACUCCAAUUUGUGUAAGUUUUAUUUAUGUUGAUCUGCUACUAGUAUUCUCUGUCAUUAUCUGUAAAAAAUUUAAAACUGGUAAUGAAAUCUUAAUUUUUUUUACCAACAAAAAAACUCAAAAAUCAUCAUUAAAAUAAAUAUAUUCAAAUAUAGCAUUACAAAUUUCGAAAUAUCAUUUAAUUAUAUAUUUUUAAAUUAUACAAUUUGAUUACUAAUUUUUUUCAAAAAUAUAUACAAUUUUUUUAUUGAAAAUAAUAAAAAAAUUAAUCGUAAAAUCAUUAGUUUUUUAUAUAUCUACAAAUUUUAUAAAUAUUGUAAUAUUAAUUUUUGGUAAUUAUUCAAUUUCUUACAAAUUUAUUUAAUAUAUUUAAUUAAAAUAAAUAGAUAGAAACAUCUAUCUAAAAUUAUAAUUUUAAAUAUAUACAUGCAUAUCCUUAAAUAUAAUUUAAAAUAAACAAAAUUAUUUUUAUCUUAAUUUUUAAGCUUAAUUAAAUCAAACUUAUAUUAAAUAUUGAUAAGAAAAAAAAUUACAAUAUUAAUAAAAUUUUAUUUUUAAUUUAUAUUUAUCUGUUAAAACAUUUUAAUUUUUUUACUGUACAUGGUGCAGAAAAACACCUAGUAAUUCAUGCUAAAAUAAGUAUUGUUACAUAAUUCGUGAAGAAAAAGACAAGAUAUAAAAAACGAUUUGAAAUAGGUUUUUCUCCAGCGUGUGCAUAGAUGGUGUACCUCAUCUGAUCUUAUCUCCAUGAGUCCAUGAUCGAGUGAUACCGAUUAGGUGUAGGCACGAAGCAGAUAUCAGAAAUUUUAAGGAUAUCUACGCUCCGUUCUACACGUAUAAUCGAUUUUUUUAUUCAAUUCGAUAUGUAACCUUUUGGAUAUCUGGUAUUCUGGAUAUCUGGAAAAUUUUGUAGUUUUACCAGAUAUUCGAUACGAUCCGCAAAAAAAUAAUUAAAAAAAAAUUAUAUAAAAUAAUAAUAUUUUAAAAUAACUAUAUAUUUUCAAAAUUUUCAAUAACUAAAUAACUAAUUUAGUGAAUAAAAUAUUAUAAAAGUUAUAUAGAGAUAUAAAUAUAUAUAUGUGUGUGUGUGUGUGUGUGUGUGUGUGUGUCAUAACGGAUAGGAUCGAUAUCCGUUUUUAAAAAUAUCAGUAUAUGUGAUUUGAUCCGUCUUUGACGGAUAUUGAAUUUUGGUAUUUAUUUAAGUUACGGAUAUCCAGAUUUUUCUUAUCGAAUCAAAACGAAUAACGAAUCAAAUCAAAACUUAUGCAUAUUACUUUUUUUGUUUGUAACCAAAUAAUUAUUAAGGUUGAUUUUAUAUAUAUUUUACUGACUCUUUGUCUGUAUCAGAUAUAUAUUGACUAGUAUGAUCUCAUACUAUCUUUCAUAAAACAUGAUAAAAAAGGAAAUAAUUAUUUUAAUAUAUAUUGGGAGCUUGAUCUGUAAUAUGUCUUCUGAGGUUGCUUCACGUCCAGGAAAGUCACUGUUAUUAAUGAACAAUACUCAUUCAAACUGAAGUUACAAAAGGAAAAAAAAAAACAGUUUAGUGAUUAUUCUUAGCUAGCAUAUCAAACAUCUAUGAGACUCCUUUCAAGUAAUCAUUUUGAUAAGUACGUAGAUUUUAGACUUUUAAGUACUUACGUUAUCUGAUCACAAUCGAAGAAAAAAUGUUGAAAAAUAAAUGAAGAAAAAAGUGGCAUAGAGUGCUUACUUAAUUAGCCUCUAUGAUAAUAUCAUAGUAAUUAUUACAGUACAUCUAUUUUAACUUCUUAUAUCCAGGGAGGACGGCGUAUGACUAAUAUUGAUAAGCUCAUACAUGAAUUUAUGUGGAGACUGAAACUAUUUUAGACUAAAUGUGUUUGCAUUGAUUACAUAAGAUGUAAAAACUAAAAGUCGUUAUUAUUAUCAUUAUGCAUAUAAAUAAACAAUAAUAUGACAAUGUGUGUGUCUAUAUAUGGUAUAAAUACUUGUAGAAGCUCAGUUGCGUGAUCUCAAGUUCUCAACAGUGUUACAGCUACGAUUGAUUGUUGAUGCUUAAUCUAUAAUUAGAUAAAAUUAUGUUAACAGUGUUUUACAUAAUCAAAAUUAAAGCUAGCAAAAGGAGAUCACUAGCAUGUAAAUGUUGGAAGAGGGAUGGUAAGCAUGCCAACCAACAAUUCUCUUCAUGCAAACUAGUUUACUUAAUUAUAUAUGACAAUAAUAUAAUUUCACACCAUGUUUAUGAAUUUGAAUCGUUGUCUUGUUUGACCUAAAAUAUCCUUCCUCACUGAAAGUGCAAGUUCUUAAAAAUCAUUAUCCCAAAACCAGGGCCGGUCUCGAGCAUAGGCGAGGUAACCGACCGCGUAGGGCAUCAUAUUUUAAGCGAAAAAAUUUAGUUGUAUAUAAGGCAUAAAUUUUUUUUUACAUGAAUAACAAAGGCAUAAAAUUUUAAAUGAGCUUAGGGCAUCAAGAAAAAAUUGAGAAUGUUGGACCGGCACUGCCCAAAACUGAGCCAAGCGCGACAACGGGAAAUGUUUUUUUCCCAAUAUAAUUAUAUCGUGCUAAACUAACAAAAGGACUAAAUAGUUUAAGAUAAGAAAUUAUUUUAUCAAUAUUUAAUAGCAUCUCCAUCAGUGGAGAUUGUAAUUUGGGGUACUUAACAUAAAAUAAUAAUAUUUUAAUAUGAUAUUUAUAUACUUUAAUUUAAUUAUUUUAAAUAAAUAUUAACAAACUAAAAAGAAACAUGUGGCAGUACAGUUUAGGAACCAAUUCUAAAAAGAGGGUUUAAUGGCGUACCUCCGAGCUCGAUAACCUAGGUAGAUUUUUAAAAUUAUUUUAACUUUUUUUUAGUUAAAAAAAAAGUCAAUCGCGGGGUUUUAUUUGGCGGUAGAAUCCGUGCACAGUAACAAACCUGAUCUUUAUCUAAGGAUUAUUUUGACAAAAGUCUUUAAGUUUAGUAGGUCCCACACGAUAUUAUAUUGAUUAAUCCCUAAAGAUUUUUGGGUAAGGAUCCCCAUUGGACAUGCCCUAAAGAACCUCAACUAUUUCUCAUUCUUACUUUUGUGUAUUUAUAUUAGAGUCUUUAUAUUAUUACUUUUUGGUUAGGAGUUAUUUAAACAUCCUACAUCCUACCGAUGGAGAAGGUCUAAGACCACCUCCAACGGUGGCUCUGACCACAGGUUCUAAAAAAAACAAAAAAAAUAAAUCAAAAAUGAGAUAAAUGAGCAAAACCGGUUCUAAAUAUAACACUUUUAGAAUCAGUAAAAACCCCAUAUGUGCCUCUUUGUUAUUGGUUAAAACAAAAAAGCAGAAAAUCUGACCUUCUCUUUCUUCCUCUUCGUUAAUGUCUUUUUUUUGUUUUUCUGAGAAAUUGGUUCGUCGAUGUUCGUAGAUAUUUUGAAAAAUCUUUCCAAAUCAUCACAUGAGAUCAACCGUUUGUUUGUUGGAUGAGAGAUGCUGAGCUUGGAUAAACAAAGGCCUGAAUCGUCAUCAUCGGAGGAGGUGCAAGCUGUGACUCCGUGGGUCGUCUCCGGUAAUGUCGAUCACGAGAAGGUGAUCGAAAAGUUCGGCUGCGAUAGGAUAGACGAGUCGCUGAUUGCAGUUGCAGGGGACAAGAACUGCCAAUGGUACGUCUUAUUCAUUGUUUUCACGUUAUUAAAGUAAAAAGAAAACAAAAUCUUACAAAAACUAUAUAGUUUCAUAUUUUAUCAUUACCCCUCAGAAAAUGAAGAGAAUUACAAGAAAUGCCACGAAGUGAUUUUGAGGAACCCUUGAGUUUCUUUCGGUCGUUUUCUCUCCCCAUGUCUCUUUGAUCCGAAACGUA
Molecule: long non-coding RNA, 4253 nt
Filed under: Brassica napus (rape)
Lineage: Eukaryota; Viridiplantae; Streptophyta; Magnoliopsida; Brassicales; Brassicaceae
Description: long non-coding RNA (BNAP_LNC003242)
Source: RNAcentral